GAUAAGCGCCGGUAAGGUGAUAUGAACCGUUAUAACCGGCGAUUUCCGAAUGGGGAAACCCAGUGUGACUCGUCACACUAUCAUUAACUGAAUCCAUAGGUUAAUGAGGCGAACCGGGGGAACUGAAACAUCUAAGUACCCCGAGGAAAAGAAAUCAACCGAGAUUCCCCCAGUAGCGGCGAGCGAACGGGGAGGAGCCCAGAGCCUGAAUCAGCAUGUGUGUUAGUGGAAGCGUCUGGAAAGGCGCGCGAUACAGGGUGACAGCCCCGUACACAAAAGCGCAUGUGCUGUGAGCUCGAUGAGUAGGGCGGGACACGUGGUAUCCUGUCUGAAUAUGGGGGGACCAUCCUCCAAGGCUAAAUACUCCUGACUGACCGAUAGUGAACCAGUACCGUGAGGGAAAGGCGAAAAGAACCCCGGCGAGGGGAGUGAAAAAGAACCUGAAACCGUGUACGUACAAGCAGUGGGAGCACAGGUUUACCUGUGUGACUGCGUACCUUUUGUAUAAUGGGUCAGCGACUUAUAUUCUGUAGCAAGGUUAACCGUAUAGGGGAGCCGUAGGGAAACCGAGUCUUAACCGGGCGUUAAGUUGCAGGGUAUAGACCCGAAACCCGGUGAUCUAGCCAUGGGCAGGUUGAAGGUUGGGUAACACUAACUGGAGGACCGAACCGACUAAUGUUGAAAAAUUAGCGGAUGACCUGUGGCUGGGGGUGAAAGGCCAAUCAAACCGGGAGAUAGCUGGUUCUCCCCGAAAGCUAUUUAGGUAGCGCCUCGUGAAUUCAUCUCCGGGGGUAGAGCACUGUUUCGGCUAGGGGGCCAUCCCGGCUUACCAACCCGAUGCAAACUGCGAAUACCGGAGAAUGUUAUCACGGGAGACACACGGCGGGUGCUAACGUCCGUCGUGAAGAGGGAAACAACCCAGACCGCCAGCUAAGGUCCCAAAGUCAUGGUUAAGUGGGAAACGAUGUGGGAAGGCCCAGACAGCCAGGAUGUUGGCUUAGAAGCAGCCAUCAUUUAAAGAAAGCGUAAUAGCUCACUGGUCGAGUCGGCCUGCGCGGAAGAUGUAACGGGGCUAAACCAU
This 1081-nucleotide ribosomal RNA is filed under the name Salmonella enterica subsp. enterica serovar Muenchen. Its description in RNAcentral is "partial 23S ribosomal RNA". It matches the Rfam family "Bacterial large subunit ribosomal RNA", at positions 70 to 1190 of the family's 2925-position model. The record is from RNAcentral. Lineage: Bacteria; Pseudomonadati; Pseudomonadota; Gammaproteobacteria; Enterobacterales; Enterobacteriaceae.